ACCCGCUGAAUUUAAGCAUAUAACUAAGCGGAGGAAAAGAAACUAACAAGGAUUCCCCUAGUAAGGGCGACUGAAGCGGGAUCAGCCCAGAUUGUAAACUGACCUUAAUCAAGGUUGGGUUGUAGUCUAAAGAGGCGACGCCAGGCAAGGUCCGGGGAGAAGUCCCUUGGAACAGGGCAUCGGAGAGGGUGACAAUCCCGUCUGUGCCUCGGACCGCGUCGUACGGUGCGUCUUCGACGAGUCGGUUUGCUUGGGAUUGCAGACCAAACGGGUGGUAAAUUCCAUCUAAGGCUAAAUACGGGUGGGAGACCGAUAGCGAACAAGUACCGUGAGGGAAAGAUGCAAAGAACUUUGAAAAGAGAGUUAAAAAGGGCCUGAAACUGGUAAGAGGGAACCGAACGGCAGAAGUGGUGAUGGGCGCGUAUUUUCCGCCGGGCUCUUGGCCGGCGUACUUGUGCGCGUCCGUAGGUCAGCGUGGGUUGGGGCGUGGGAGUCGUUCAUGGGAAGGUCUUCGGGCCAAUCUCGUGUUCAGGCCGCGCCUGAGACCUUCGGUGACGAAAUUCUUCCGUUCACCCCGUCUUGAAACACGGACCAAGGAGUCUAAAAUACGAGCGAGUGCGCCGGUGGCAACCCGGGGCGCGUAAUGAAAGUGAGACCGACGGUGGGAGGGCUUUACGUCCGCACCAUCAACCGACCAGGAUCCUUCGGGUGAAAGGUUUGAGUGUAGCUUGUAUUUUGGGACCCGAAAGAUGGUGAACUAUGCCUGAAUAGGGCGAAGCCAGGGGAAACUCUGGUGGAGGCUCGUAGCGAUUCUGACGUGCAAAUCGAUCGUCAAAUUUGGGUAUAGGGGCGAAAGACUAAUCGAACCAUCUAGUAGCUGGUUCCCUCCGAAAUUUCCCUCAGGAUAGCAGCAAUCGAAGAGUUUUAUCAGGUAAAGCGAAUGAUUAGAGGCCUCAGGGGUGGAACGUCCUUGACCUAUUCUCAAACUUUAAAUGGGUAAGAGCCAGGGGUUGCUUAAGUGAACCCCUCGGUCGAAUCGCGGUUGCUAGUGGGCCACCCGGGGUAAGCUCGGUUGGCGAUGCGGGAUGAUCCGAACGUCGAGUUAAAGUGCCUCACUGCCCGCUCACCUAGAUCCCACAAAAGGUGUUGGUUCAUUUAGACAGCAGGACGGUGGCCAUGGAAGUCGGAACCCGCUAAGGAGUGUGUAACAACUCACCUGCCGAAUGGAUUAGCCCUGAAAAUGGAUGGCGCUGAAGCGAGCGACUUAUACUCGACCAUCACGGCAAGUGCGACGCCGUGAUGAGUAGGAGGGCGUGGGGCUCGUGGCGCAUCCCGCGGCGUGAGCCGGGGUGAAACGGGCUCUAGUGCAGAUCUUGGUGGUAGUAGC
This 1387-nucleotide ribosomal RNA is filed under the name Aureococcus anophagefferens. Its description in RNAcentral is "partial large subunit ribosomal RNA". It matches the Rfam family "Eukaryotic large subunit ribosomal RNA", at positions 23 to 1464 of the family's 3401-position model. The record is from RNAcentral. Lineage: Eukaryota; Pelagophyceae; Pelagomonadales; Pelagomonadaceae.